Molecule: non-coding RNA, 81 nt
Filed under: human gut metagenome
Also listed under: 1 other name
Description: TPP riboswitch (THI element)
Rfam family: TPP riboswitch aptamer (THI element)
About the family: Vitamin B(1) in its active form thiamin pyrophosphate (TPP) is an essential coenzyme that is synthesised by coupling of pyrimidine and thiazole moieties in bacteria. The previously detected thiamin-regulatory element, thi box was extended, resulting in a new, highly conserved RNA secondary structure, the THI element, which is widely distributed in eubacteria and also occurs in some archaea.
Source: RNAcentral
UAGCACUGGGGGCGUCCGCACGGACUGAGAGUGAACUCCUUGAACCUGAUCUGGCUCACACCAGCGUAGGAAAGUGAUUGU